RNAcentral lists this ribosomal RNA (497 nucleotides) under uncultured bacterium. RNAcentral describes it as "partial 16S ribosomal RNA". It matches the Rfam family "Bacterial small subunit ribosomal RNA", at positions 28 to 507 of the family's 1533-position model. The record is from RNAcentral.
GAUGAACGCUGGCGGCGUGCCUAAUACAUGCAAGUCGAGCGAACAGACGAUGAUCUUGCUCCUCUGACGUUAGCGGCGGACGGGUGAGUAACACGUGUAUAACCUACCUAUAAGACUGGUAUAACUUCGGGAAACCGGAGCUAAUACCGGAUAAUAUAUUGAACCGCAUGGUUCAAUAGUGAAUGACGGUUUUGCUGUCACUUAUAGAUGGAUCCGCGCCGCAUUAGCUAGUUGGUAAGGUAACGGCUUACCAAGGCAACGAUGCGUAGCCGACAUGAGAGGGUGAUCGGCCACACUGGAACUGAGACACGGUCCAGACUCCUACGGGAGGCAGCAGUAGGGAAUCUGCCGCAAUGGGCGAAAGCCUGACGGAGCAACGCCGCGUGAGUGAUGAAGGUCUUCGGAUCGUAAAACUCUGUUAUUAGGGAAGAACAAAUGUGUAAGUAACUAUGCACGUAUUGACGGUACCUAAUCAGAAAGCCACGGCUAACUACGUG